ACCUGCACUAACCUACAAUGCCUUUCUCAGUUUUAACAAGUAGGUACAGCAAACACUACAGCAAGAUUGAGCACCAGCCAGUUGGGCUUUUUGACCGGUCUUAGCACUGCAAAUUUAAUUUUCUGCAAAGGGAGCAAACAACCUCCUGGACAGUUCCUUAAAAUACAUGAGAUCUCCAAGCAGUGAGGCAACCAUUAGAUGACAGACGUAGGUGACCUAGAAAAGCAUAUGUCAUUUUACCUUUCUAAUUUUUAGUUAAAUGACAAUAAUAAUACUCUUCAGUUUCAGGUGUAUCUUAAGUUUGUUUUCUUUCCUAAGAGUAUUUCUCUAGGAAGCCUCCCAGAAACAUCUAUCCUUCAAGGACAUGAAAUAGAAAAAACAGGACUAUCAAGGCAAAAAUCAAAAUCAGAGUCAACUUGAAAGUCACCAGUACUCAGAGUGACAGUCUGCAACAUAUCAGUCACACUUCAAGAUUAUUGUCUUAGCAUAAAAUAACUUAUAGGGAGAAAACCAGCAUUCACAUGAGCUUUUGCUAAAGUUAAACUGAUGUUCUGUGGGACUGAUGGUUAGACAGACUGGCGCCUGUUGAUUGUGCUAUCACUUCAGUGCGUGAAAACAAUUUGCUUGCAAGCAGUCCAUAUUUCAUUAGCAUUAUAAGUGCUACAAGAAAAUAAUUAGCCUCUAAUGCACUCUAUAGCUAAAUCACUGGAGCAGAAGUGAUCGAUAAAACAGUCAAUAGCAAAUCGUUUGGUCCCAUUUUAUUAAUGCUGUUUGAAUUCAUGCACUUUCCAAUCUGGGGUUUAUCUGCACAUCAUGAGAGAUAUUUCACGUCAUGCUACAAGUUUCAUCACAAUGACACAGAUCAUGUAUCUAUGCAACAUCAUAGCUGACAAAAGCCACCAGCUGUCUAAAUCAGUAGGUGUCUGGGAAAUCAGUAAUUUUUUACAUAUGUAAAAUUUAAUCACAGGCUGUUAUGAGACUCUUUGCUAACAGAUCUGGUCAGACAGAAGUCAGAUGGGGGAAGGGAGUGAAUUUAAAACGAGGUGCUAGAGGCCUUAUCAGAUAUGGCAUAAUAAAUGGCAUAUCUCAGGAUUCCUAUCAGGCGUGAAGGCUCUGCAAUCAGCAUUCCUGCAGCAUCCAGAAUUACUGCCUUCACAUUUCAUAUUCGUUGGCGCUGUGGAGGUCAGUUGUGUUGGUGACCCUUUUUUCUAUAUGAUGAAUAGCUCCAGUGUUCAUGAUUUUCAUCCAACAGAAUCACAUUGAUUGGAAUUGCAGCAAAUAAGAUUGCAUACAAAAUUCUGCACAUAGCCUCUGACUAUAUGUAUAAAUUUGCAUUUACAUUAUAUUUGCAUCUGGGGAGAGCCCACAUACUAUUUUUUUCACAGUGCAGCUGCAAUAUCUUCAGAGCCUGGAUGCAGUGGUUGAACAUCUGUCACUCAGUGCCAGACUGUUUUAGAUCUUUUAAAAUCAUAAGGAACUGAUUAGUAGAUGAAUUAAAUACUGCUGUGUUUAUUUGUGACUCUAGCACUUCCUCUUCUUCUUGUUGAGCCAUCAUUUCAUAUUAGGAUUGAAACUCUAAUUUUAGUUGCAUUUACCAGCAAAGCAGUGACUUAGGAAGACAGAUUUUAAAAGUCUAAAUAUGACUGGGUCAAAAGGGUGACAGAAUAGUUAGGCAAAAGGAGCAGAUGAUAAACCACACGAGUGUAUGAUGAGUAUUUCAAGAGCUAGAAGAGACUGUUAGGUAAGGACAUAACAAGGUACCACUUCUUUGGUGAUGAAAAGAGAGAACUAGUGAAAGGAAGAUGAAAUAUAACAGAUACCAACACAAAAAAGACAAUAUGCUAAAGCAAGCAGGACAUAUGUUUGAAACAGCUACUGAAUGGUUCUACCAAACUUAAAGGAAAAGACCAGAAAAGCGUGUCUGCGAAAAUAAUUGUUUUGUGGAAGUGAGUGUUAGGAGGAUUCAGGCAGUCACAACAGGGAGCUGCUGCAGCUUUUACUCUACCCUUGAGCAUCAGAAGUUUUAAUCUAAAUGACUAUGAAAACCUAGGUCAUAAAAUCUCUUAGUCUUUGGUCUGGCUUUCCACCAAAAAAAAUUGAAAAAGUCAUUGUUGACAUCAGUGGAAACUAAACCAGAUACGCCAGCAGAAGAUGUACUCUUAGGAAACAAAAAUAUUAAUAGAUAAUCCCAAACAUUUUUGCUGUCCACUUUCUUCUCAGAUAGAACUAGGCAGAAACAGAUUUCCAUUAUAUACUUUCCAGAUUGGUCAUUUUUGCAAACAGGAGCAACCAAUGGGAGCACCAUUAUAUUUCUUGUCUCUGAUGACUAAAAUGAAUUGGGAGAAUCUAAUAAAAAUGUAAUAUUGUAUAGUAAAUGUCUUUAAGCUUUGCUGUAUCUUUAUCAAUGGCUUUCUGAAGGUGAUUGUUGUCUAUGAGGGGGCUGCAGUUUCUCUUUUACCCAUUAAAGGAUCUUGAUUUUUGUUAAUUUCAAAUGAAAAUGUCACUCUUCAUUCCAGUUUAUGUCAGCUAUUAGACAAGAAACAGCACCAUGUUCUUAAUUGCAAAACAGUCUGAGAAACACAAGGAACUUUAACAUAUUAGACUUACUGGAAACAAAUUCAGAGCUCAACAGAAUGCUAAUACACCAAAUGCUGGUGCAACAGUAUAAUAGCUUGCAAUUCUGAAAUUAUUUUAACAUAUUAACAUGUCAUUGUAGCUACUUAUCUGCAUCUGCAUUUAUUGGUAUUAUGCACACCUUCAAAUCACUGUUACUGCUGAACACUGCAUGGCAUGAUGCAGGCUGGGCAUCACUUUCUGAGACAGACAGUCCCUGGGGCUCCCUGGGUUUAGUCCACCUCCCUGCCUCCCCAGCGCCUUGCCCAGGAGGAGGGCAUUGCCAGGCUGGGGGAAGAGCUGAGCCCCUACUCCAGACCUAUGUACUGCUGCUUCACUCCCUCCUCUCAUUCCUGCUUGUUUACUUUAUAAAAACCAAACAGUGGCUGACAAAAGACAUCUUGGCCAAGAAUAAGAUGAAGCAUAUGGUGUCAUGAGACUUUUGCAGUGAGCCUUCCCAUCCUGCAGGAAUCUGUGGCCCAGGGAGCAUCAGAAGAUGUGGUGGGGUCUUUGUAUUUCAGACCAUGCUGUGGGAUCUUCUCCCGUAACUUCAUGUGGUAACUCUUUGAAGACUCGUAAGCUAGCAGCCUCAGCACCUUGCUGUAAUCUUUGGUUUAACCAUGUAUUAUCUGGAAAGUCACUUCCUCACCACUGUUUUGAAUUUUCCUCCUGCUGGCUUACUGGACUGUCUAGUUCUUACACUGGAAUUGUUUCCCACAUCCCUGCCCCAUGCCAGCAAAGAUUUUAUAGACUUGUAUGAUAUGUACCUUGUCAGUUGUCUCUUUUUCAGGCUGAACAGUCUGUAUCUAAGUUAUUCCUUGCACAGAAGCUGUCCUAUUGAGUUUCAUCUGCUAUUUUAUCAUCUAUGCCAUGUCAUGAGGGCCUUCUGCAGUUCUUUAUUAUCUUUAUACCUUACCUUUACCCUUAUCUUUUUUACCCUGAAUAACUUCCUUUGCUGAUUACUUCCUUCAGCUUGAAUCCUGAGCAUUUAUUCCCCUUUCUCUUUAUUGAUAUGGGGGCAUGUCCCCUUGUUUCGUGGUACCUUCUUUAAGAGCUUUUGGUGAGGAAACUUGUCAAAAUGCUUUUAGAAAACUGAAUACAUACAGCAAUCAUAUCUUCUUUGUCCAUCUUUGUUUCCAGCAUAAUGUAGUAAUUAUGUCAGAUGGGACUUGCCUUUGGGCCUUGCCUUUACAAAAUCCGUGUUGAUUCUUCCCAAGGAAUUAGUACGUAUCCAUGUAAUUCUUUUCCUCAUAUAGGCUUAUUGCUUGGUAUUUCAUUGCUUGUAACCUGGAUUCCUUUCCAAAAGGGUGCCACAGUAGCCUGGUACUGUAAUAUGGAAGCAAUUGUAAGCUUAAAGUUAUGCAUCGGUUCAAAUGUUCCACAUUUUGAGAGCUCUUGUGUGAAUACCAUCAAGACCUUGCAAUUUAUUAACAUUAACUUUGUGAUUUGUUCCCUAAUCUCUUCUACUGACAUUUUAUUGAGUUAGAGCCUCCACUGUGUUUCCCAAAGACUCCUUGUGUGGAAACUUUCCCAAGUUCCUCCGUAAUCAAGGUAAAUUAAAAAAAUUCAUGCAGCUUUUUUUGGUACUGCAGCUAGACCAGUGAAAUAAUGUGCUCACAACGUGGCUUCUGAUUAUUGUGGUCACUAUUUUACAAGGAACACACAACAGCUAUUAUAGGCAUGCGAUGCAGGAGCUCUACAAAGCCAGGUCUGCAGACCAGCAAUAAUUUAUGUAAGUCUCCCGGCCACCUGAUGCUUUUUAAUAUGAAUCUCUGUACAGCACAGGUAGAAUCUAAAUACUUUGGUUUACGUAUUAGCCAACACCAGCUUCCUCUGCUGUAUUAUUUUCUUCUCUUGUCUUCAGCUGAUAUAAGGAGACAUAUACCAACUCAGGAUAUGUUCCUAACUUUUAAAACUGUUUCCCACUUCAGUGCAAAGGUGAGUGUUAAUUUAGUUCUGUUAUUAACUUCUGUAACUAUUCUCUGGUGUAACAGUAUAUAUACACCUCUAAAUAGCAGCCAGACAGUAACUGUCCAAAUGAUAGCCAACAUCAUGGUGGCUGCAAAAUUCAUUGGGGAACCACUGGUCUAGCAAUCCAUUACCAAGAUUGGAUUUUAUAGCUUUCUUUCUGUUUUAUCUCCACAGGAAACUCACUUAAAGACAAUUUAAAGGCUAGAUGCUUCCUUAUACUUGUGUAGCUGAGAGCUAAAUACUGUUGUAAGGGAACUAUGGCUUAAAAUGACUGAGCAAUAUCAAAUGAACAUUUUCUACCUCUCUUUUUGCAGAAAACUAUGUCCAAGCAUUACUAUAAAGCUAACUGAAAUCAUGAUGGAAGUUUCUAAUAGCUAUUAAUGGCUUCAUAUUAUAAUAUCUUUUCUUGUAGCAAUAAUACUUUCAAAACUACCCUGACUGGCAGUCCUUUCUUGUUGCUGUCAUUGAUGUAUUAAUUGUGUUUUCCUUCUAACCUAGGGAGAAGGUUGCACUGUUUAGUUUUAUUUAUACUCCUAAAUAUUAUGACUCAGUAUGGCAUGGAACAUGACUCUUAGCAAUGAUACCAUUUACAGGCAAUGGUUAUAAUAACAAGACAAACAGUACUUACUGGUAAUUGAGGUCCUUAAUUAAUAACAUUUUAAAUCCUAGGACAAUCUGUUUAUUAAACAUUGCAGUAAAACUGCUCAAAAUUCAUGUCUUCUAUUCACAUUGUACCUGGAAUCAUUGCUGUGCUAACAGGUUUCAUCAGUCUCUCAAUUAAAUCUGACAAAUAUAAACUGCUUUGCUAUAUAGUUAGAAAAAACACCUUUAUUUUAGAGCCUGUGGUAAUCCAGGCUUUUGAAUCUACAUCCUGGUUCAGCUGGUAGCUGCGUCACUACUAAGCCUCUGUUCCAGCAUGGCAGGAAAAAGAAAUUACAUGGCUGUUAGCAUCUGGGAGACUUUCCUUCCAGGCAUCAAAUAUCACUGAGAAGGAUUUACAGCACCUCUUUACCACGUAAAGCAAGCCCAACAGCAGGAACAUGUGGAUAUGGUCCAGUUUGGCUGAAGAAUAAGGAACAGCACCUCAGCAAGUGUCUGCCACUGGGAACUGCAGCUCCUCUGAGGAUCCGUAAACUCCAAUGAUCUGGGACUUCACUUUGGUGACAGAUCAUGGCAGGGAGAACAUAAUGGAGAGGUGACCUGAAGCAGCUCUAGUGCGGGUUUGUGUCAGGUCCUGGUGCACAGCUCUAUCAGCUAAAAACUAGGAACUGUUACGCAAUACUUGGUAGCUGAAGAGCAUCUUCUGGGGAAGCUGAAGGCAUUACAGUUGCCACUCUGCCCAUCUGUGCUAGCACAUGCUCCAACUCACAUGACAGGGAAGAGUCUGGUCUUUGGCAAAGCAUUUCCACUUCUCUCAGUGUUGCAGAGGUAUCUGUCCCAUCUGUCUUCUGCUUCAGAUCACUGUAACUCGAGAAUAGCACCCUGGCACUGAGGACUGAUAGCUGUGAUUGGUUCCAGAAGCUGAAGUGAAACUUCAAAUUCAUGUCUUAGAUUCCUUUCUGCAAGAAUCACCUGAUGUUUUUCCUUUGUUUGUGGACGGAAGUCAAAAUCAGGAGAUGUGAAAGAGACGGGUGCCUUCAAAAGGGACUUCUGUAAUUAGCUACAGACUGCAGUGUAGUCACUAUAUUGACAUCAGAUCCUGUUUCAGGUACGUGACACUAUUUUACUAAGGACCAAGGAUGCAUAUUGCAAAGGUGGGAUAAGGAUGAACCAUCCACCAUAGACUAAGUUCCUGUGGGCCCUGAUGUACCUUUGCAGGCACCAGCUGUCACUUUGCAACCUUCCCUCCCAAAAUCCCCAAGAGAAAUGACGGCACUGAUUCUUCAGCCUGAAAUGGGGACAAAACCAAUGUAAAGACACUUUUCAGUUCAGAAAAUGAACAUCAGAAAUACAUCUAACUGCAAUGGCAGUUCCUCAUAGCAAGCAGGGCCAAAGACUACAAGAGCUGAAAUGUUGAAUAUCUUUUUAUAUUAAUCAUUUAACUCUGUUUUUUGGGAGAAUACAAUUUGGAAUCCUUGUAGCCACAGAGGAAAGUAGCAGAGAAUAUUUCCGUACUAAACUAGAAUGCUUUCCCUUCCAAUCACACAUUGUGGUUUUCCUAGGGUUUUGUCAGUGGUGGAUCAGUGAAAGAGCUACUGAAAUAUGUGCUCAUCAAAAUACCUCGUAACAUUUACAUUCCCUGGGAGAGAAGAGAGAAAGAGCAGGCUGAUUAGCAUCUGUACUUGAUGGUGAACUUCCAAGAAGAAAACAUUAAUUGGCUUCUGAGAUUGUAAUAUAGAUUUGUGCUCAUUUGCUUUUUAUGCUAAAAUAUUUGUCCAGCUAAAGAUUUAUGCCACAUCUGUAGUCGAUCGUGUUUUGGAACUAAAUGAAUGGUUACCUCCCUGAAUUUCUUGCUUUAGGAUUUAGGAGUGAUUAUUUGCAGUGUUCAUUUGAUGGUUUUGACUAAUCUGAGGAUUUACUGCUAGUGGUGCUGAUAAAUUGUUACAUUGUUUUAUUUUGACCAUAUUUUGAUAUUUGCACUGAUUAAGUCCUAACUGAUUGGGAAGUAUUUGUAGAAGGCUUAACUAUUUUGUCCUCUUUAAAUUGAUUCCUGCUUAUUUAUUACUUUUAAUAAAAUUCAUGAAAAGCACGUUCAGUCACUUUAUCUUCAAUACAUGGUUUUAGAUGAGGCACUGAGACUGAACCAAUUACUUUCAUAUACCUUUGGCUGACUCUGGGUGAUUUAAUAGACGAACAGGAGGGAAUUAUCCAGUAUCAAUGAGUGAAUGCAUGCUGGUUCUAAGUGCAUGGUAACUGCUGACAUGGCUUGGUAAAAGCAGAGAUAUCAUUAAUUUCAAUUGUACUCAGACUGCCCUUUCCCAGUAUGAUGUCCUGUCUCAGAAUGGCCAAUAAAACAGAAGUUUCAGUACACAAGGAAGUUUUUGACAUAUGAUCUUAAUUCAAAUCAGAUUAAAACCAACUUUUAUAAAAAUUUCCUAUGAAGCAAAAAUUCCCCAGAGCCAGCAACUGUUCUGUGAAAAUUACAUUCUUGUCAGUUUGACUAAAAAUAGCUGUAAUAUUGAUAUAUGAGAGCAGUUGCAGGGGUUUUCAGUAUUCUCGGGCACACAGCAGAUCUCUUGGUGGGAUGUCAAGACGUUAACCCUGAUGCUCUCAGGAUCUAUAGCUCUGGGAUAGGCACAAACCUGUUAUGGCUCCAGAGGAACUGCGCUGAGUCCCAGAUGCUUUGAAUGAAGUAUUUCAGGCUCACUGAGCUAGUGGUUCCAAGCAGAAUUUUUUCUCUUCACAAAAAGUCUGAAACUCCUGAAGAGAGUUAUGAGUUGGUAAAAUGUCCUGAUUUGUCUUGCAAUCAACUGAAACAGCACAGUUUGUAAUAACUCUCAGUUGCAUAUCUCACCCCUGGGCUGACCUGAUUACGUUGAAGCCUAGCCUUCAUUUUGAAAAUUAAGUUUCAAAAUGUGCCCCAAAUGCUUUCAAAGACCAUUUUUUUUCAGCUGAUCCUUCAAAUACACUGAAACGACCACUCCGAGAGUUGAAGUUACCCUUCUGGUCUCUUUUGAAGGAUUAACUGGAAGAGGUUGAAGUUCACCAAGCCACAUGGUCAAUGGACUACAUCCCCAUUACAGCAGAGAAUCUCCUGCAACAAUAGAAAAGAGCUGCAGAGCCAGCUGGUCCCUCUGCUCCCAGCUGUCCUGGUACCUCAACAGAGAGGAAAACCCAAGCUACCAACUACUGCCUCCCAAGUGAAGUGGCAGCACAUACUGCACUGUAACGUACAACCUAUCCAAGCUCUAAAGCAACAGAAACUACCACUUGCUUCUUACUGCAGCCUGCAGUUAACCUUCUGUAUCUGCAGAGCAUGCAGAACAGGGGAACAGAGAAAACAGCACUCUAGAUUUUUGAAAUGGAAAAAAUUGCCUUUCAGAGCAAUAACCUGCAUCAGGAGGAGCAGAGACAGCAGCCAAACAGAAGUGGUGGCGGAGCAGGAAAUUGCACCGUCCAUUCAGAAGAGAUCAGCACUGGUGCUCCUGUCAGCCAGCUUUUGUAGAAGAAAAAAUAAAAAGGUUGAAGGUGGGAUUCAGAUUCAAAUUCAGACCCC
Molecule: long non-coding RNA, 8740 nt
Organism: Harpia harpyja (harpy eagle)
Lineage: Eukaryota; Metazoa; Chordata; Aves; Accipitriformes; Accipitridae
Exons: 2
Source: RefSeq, a predicted model, not a curated record